UACGGAAGGCAGCAGUGGGGAAUAUUGGACAAUGGGCGAAAGCCUGAUCCAGCCAUGCCGCAUGAGUGAAGAAGGCCUUCGGGUUGUAAAGCUCUUUUAGUGAGAAAGAUAAUGACGGUACUCACAGAAGAAGUCCUGGCUAACUCCGUGCCAGCAGCCGCGGUAAUACGGAGAGGGCUAGCGUUAUUCGGAAUUAUUGGGCGUAAAGAGCGCGUAGGCUGAUUAGUAGGUUAAAAGUGAAAUCCCAAAGCUUAACUUUGGAAUUGCUUUUUAAAACUGCUAGUCUAGAGAUUGAAAGAGGAUAGAGGAAUUCCUAGUGUAGAGGUGAAAUUCGUAAAUAUUAGGAGGAACACCAGUGGCGAAGGCGUCUAUCUGGUUCAAAUCUGACGCUGAGGCGCGAAGGGCGUGGGGAGCAAACAGGGAUUAGAUACC
RNAcentral lists this ribosomal RNA (432 nucleotides) under uncultured bacterium. Its description in RNAcentral is "bacterial SSU rRNA". It matches the Rfam family "Bacterial small subunit ribosomal RNA", at positions 340 to 786 of the family's 1533-position model. The record is from RNAcentral.